AUCAACCCCAAUUCCCCCUAGGAUCAACCCCAACACCCUCUAGGAUCAACCCCAACACCCUCUAGGAUCAACCCCAACACCCUCUAGGAUCAACCCCAACACCCUCUAGGAUCAACCCCAACACCCUCUAGGAUCAACCCCAAUACCCUCUAGGAUCAACCCAACACCCUCUAGGAUCAACCCCAAUACCCUCUAGUGUCCUCUGUCAUGGAUCAACCCCAAUACCCUCUAGGAUCAACCCCAAUUGCCCCUAGGAUCAACCCCAACACCCUCUAGGAUCAACCCCAAUACCCCCUAGUGUCCUCUGUCAUGGAUCAACCCCAAUACCCUCUAGUGUCCUCUGUCAUGGAUCAACCCCAAUACGCCCUAGUGUCCUCUGUCAUGGAUCAACCCCAAUACCCUCUAGGAUCAACCCAACACCCUCUAGGAUCAACCCCAAUACCCUCUAGUGUCCUCUGUCAUGGAUCAACCCCAAUACCCUCUAGGAUAAACCCCAAUUGCCCCUAGGAUCAACCCCAACACCCUCUAGGAUCAACCCCAAUACCCCCUAGUGUCCUCUGUCAUGGAUCAACCCCAAUACCCUCUAGUGUCCUCUGU
Molecule: long non-coding RNA, 597 nt
Filed under: Oncorhynchus mykiss (rainbow trout)
Lineage: Eukaryota; Metazoa; Chordata; Actinopteri; Salmoniformes; Salmonidae
Description: lncRNA (ENSOMYG00000052046.1)
Source: RNAcentral